UUUAGUACUACCUUUUAAAUCUCAAUCUUUAUAUAUAAAGUAGUGUUUCUUUCUCUCCUAGAGUGUCCACAUAGGAUGCCACAUAGAUAAUUCGUUUUAUGUUGUAGCGACACGUGUCCGAAGAGAAAAACUCAUCGUUUCAAUUAUGUGUUUUCACGUGAUUCAGGCCGAAGAUAGAGAGACAGCCGCAAGAUUUUCUAGGGUUUGCUGUUCUUCCGCAAUUAAAACAAUCUUCUCUUUCGAUCUCUGAUACAGCUAUGAGUUUCGAUAUCUUCAAUCCACAUGAGAAUUGCUUUGUGAAUCUUCGACCUGAGGUUAUGUCUUCUUCCUUUCUUUCCUUCCCCUUCUGACCUUCGCCUUCUUCAUGACUGUCCACGUUUGUUUCUAGGGUUCAUCGUCCUCGACAGCAAGCUCUGAUACGGUCAACCAACAAUGGAGGGGAAAAGGUUGUGUGAGAUGAGUGUUAGUGAGGAAUCUCUGCAUCGAUCUCGGUUAAUAAAGUUCAGAUCUUGGAUUGUUCGGGACCAACAACCAGCGUAACUGUUCUGUAUCUAUGGCAGAGAGAUUUUAAUGUUCAACCUCUAAACAUGUUCUUGACUCCUUUAGCCAUCUCUACCUCAAUGUGUGCGUUGUCUUCUGAGAGGCGGUGUAUCUGCGGAUAUAAAAAGGCUGGCAGUUGUUUGUGCGGCUGCUCAGAUUUGUGAAACGAGUGAAACUGAAGCAGAUUGAUCUCUUAGUUCCAGUGACAUAAGAAACUUUCUCCGUGUAAGAAAACUCCAAAACUAUUUGUUACAGAAGCCUUAUGUUAAUAUCUUGAAAACAUGUGUAACAAGUCAUCAUCUUUACUGCAAGAGGGUGGCGCAUAUCAUAGAUUCAAUCACUAUGCUUACCUUGACAUGUCGUGGUCUCCGUAAGUCACUAAUCUGUAUCUUUUGAAAUGUUUUUAAGUUUUGAAAGUCGAGCUGUUGUAUAACUCCCACAAGCUCAUCAUCUUCCACCAAAUGUUUCUCAACUGUCAACUACUGUAUUAACUCUAAUGAUCUUUUCUAAUCAUAUUCUCUUCCAGUUUCUUCAAUUUAUGGGAUGCAGAUCAUUGUUUACACGUUAGUAUAAACUUUGAAACGUUCUUUAUGCGCUUUCAUAAGUAAGAACUAUCUGAAUCUUUUCCUCUUCAGCAGCCAUGUGAUUUGUGGAUGAAUUUUGGUGACUGUUACAUUCAUCUUGAGCGGAACACUCCUUCUGUUACAAAAUUAUGUCUCAUGACAGUUCAUUAGCUUCUUCUUUCAUUGAAAAAAUUUAAUGUGCUUCUUUGAGCAUUAGUGCAACUACAGACACAUAUGUAGCCCGGAGUGUAUCAGUAGAGAAAACCGCAAGCAACACGGCUCUAGACGAGAUCUUGCCUUGCAUAUACAAUUCUACAGCUCAAGCAAUUUUGAUACGUAGCAAAGAGUUGACGGAUCAGCUCGUGGAGCUCAUUAGUUGUACCAUUGUUCAUGAGAUGGUUAAUUAGGUUGGCUAACAAGAACUGUUACGCCGUUGAUUUGAUGUUGAUCUGUAUAUAACGAUCAUGUAUCACAGUUUCCCUAAAACGUUGGUUGACUAAGGAUGGUGAUUAUUUAUAAUGUACCAAGGUCCAACAUACCAGGAGUUUGUUAAUAUUUGCUUAGGAGAUGGUCUAUGAGAAGUGGCCAGGUCAUGGGGUUGAUGGGGAGAAAUCAGCUGUCCAGGUAUAUAGUCAUGUCCAAGAAUUGGUAAAUCUGCUCCUGUCUAUCAUCAUUGGUGAUGGAGAAAAAUUGAAGCAUCAACACCACUACAAAGGAAGCAGAGUCAGCAGAAGCCGAAGCAAAAGCAGCUCAAGCUUAUGCUGAGAAGCUUCAAAGACACUGAGAGGACGAAACCUCUGCAAAAUGAUGGUUUGUAUGAGAGGUGACGUAGGAGGAAGAAGAAUGUGUUGCAGGUGAAGAAGAUGAAUGUGUUGGAGGUGAACAGAGAGAGAAGCGUAGAAGUAGUGUCUGUUGUUGAUUCUCUACUUGGAAACUCUUUUUAAUUGUAAACAGUAAUCUCAAAUGCUAACACUCUUUCUAUCUGUAACAAAUAAUUCUUUAGCUGGAGAAUUUUUACAGAUUAAAAAUGUGUUAUAUAUUGUGAAAUUGGAAAGAUACGUGGGCAAGUUUUAAUGUUAUAGCAUGUAUAAAAAAUUUGUUUUA
Long non-coding RNA from Brassica rapa (field mustard), 2207 nucleotides. RefSeq lists it as uncharacterized. NCBI's taxonomy places the organism in Eukaryota, Viridiplantae, Streptophyta, Magnoliopsida, Brassicales, Brassicaceae. The record is from RefSeq and is a predicted model, not a curated record.